Molecule: long non-coding RNA, 496 nt
Organism: Sinocyclocheilus anshuiensis
Lineage: Eukaryota; Metazoa; Chordata; Actinopteri; Cypriniformes; Cyprinidae
Exons: 4
Source: RefSeq, a predicted model, not a curated record
GCUAAUGAAGACUAUGUUCAAACUGCUAAGGGCCUGACUCUGAGGUACUGCUUUAUAAAAGACAUGGAUAUGAUAUUGAUGUUGUUGGAGAGGAUGCUACAUCAAUAAUGGGACAUGUGAAAGUCCUGCAGGACCAGUCCAGAAGGACACAGCCAGAUACUUGCAUUGUUGAAGAGUGAAUGAGGAAGACCAUUGCCUGUAGGAGAAAGAAGAUUACUAGUAGGAUGACUGUUGAAGAUGCUGUCUACAAGUAUCCAUUCUUGAAGAGUCCAUCAGGGCUUUAUCAAGAAAUUGGUUUCCUGUAUAAAUCUGUUAAUCUAUGCCGCCACUUUCAAGACAUUUUAGAAACAUUGCAUCCAGUGUGCUACGGCUCGCUCAAGGGAAAUCUCUUGUAUCAAAAUUGCACAAAGAAGCUAGAGAAGAAUCUCUCAGUGAAGACCAUCUUGAAUUGUUUUAGAAGCAGCACCUUCUCAUGUUGCCAGCCUUGUUCAGAGAG